RNAcentral lists this ribosomal RNA (447 nucleotides) under uncultured bacterium. RNAcentral describes it as "bacterial SSU rRNA". It matches the Rfam family "Bacterial small subunit ribosomal RNA", at positions 329 to 793 of the family's 1533-position model. The record is from RNAcentral.
GACCAGACUCCUACGGGAGGCAGCAGUGGGGAAUAUUGCACAAUGGGGGAAACCCUGAUGCAGCGACGCCGCGUGAGCGAUGAAGUAUUUCGGUAUGUAAAGCUCUAUCAGCAGGGAAGAAGAUGACGGUACCUGACUAAGAAGCCCCGGCUAACUACGUGCCAGCAGCCGCGGUAAUACGUAGGGGGCAAGCGUUAUCCGGAUUUACUGGGUGUAAAGGGAGCGUAGACGGCGAUGCAAGCCAGAUGUGAAAGCCCGGGGCUCAACCCCGGGACUGCAUUUGGAACUGUGUGGCUGGAGUGUCGGAGAGGCAGGCGGAAUUCCUAGUGUAGCGGUGAAAUGCGUAGAUAUUAGGAGGAACACCAGUGGCGAAGGCGGCCUGCUGGACGAUGACUGACGUUGAGGCUCGAAAGCGUGGGGAGCAAACAGGAUUAGAUACCCUGGUAC